RNAcentral lists this ribosomal RNA (546 nucleotides) under uncultured Gammaproteobacteria bacterium. RNAcentral describes it as "bacterial SSU rRNA". It matches the Rfam family "Bacterial small subunit ribosomal RNA", at positions 225 to 763 of the family's 1533-position model. Lineage: Bacteria; Pseudomonadati; Pseudomonadota; Gammaproteobacteria. The record is from RNAcentral.
AUCAGCCCGCGUUGGAUUAGGUAGUUGGUGGGGUAAUGGCCUACCAAGCCGACGAUCCAUAGCUGGUUUGAGAGGAUGAUCAGCCACACUGGGACUGAGACACGGCCCAGACUCCUACGGGAGGCAGCAGUGGGGAAUAUUGGACAAUGGGCGCAAGCCUGAUCCAGCCAUGCCGCGUGGGUGAAGAAGGCCUUCGGGUUGUAAAGCCCUUUUGUUGGGAAAGAAAAGCAAUCGGUUAAUACCCGGUUGUUCUGACGGUACCCAAAGAAUAAGCACCGGCUAACUUCGUGCCAGCAGCCGCGGUAAUACGAAGGGUGCAAGCGUUACUCGGAAUUACUGGGCGUAAAGCGUGCGUAGGUGGUUUGUUAAGUCUGAUGUGAAAGCCCUGGGCUCAACCUGGGAAUUGCAUUGGAUACUGGCUGACUAGAGUGCGGUAGAGGGCAGUGGAAUUCCCGGUGUAGCAGUGAAAUGCGUAGAGAUCGGGAGGAACAUCUGUGGCGAAGGCGACUGCCUGGACCAGCACUGACACUGAGGCACGAAAGCGUG